ACUUAAAUAAUUUAAAUAUAAAAUAUUGAUUUGUGGUAUCAAAUAUGUGAAACAAAAUUCAUUUUAAGUU
This 70-nucleotide transfer RNA is filed under the name Pseudergolis wedah. Its description in RNAcentral is "tRNA-His". Lineage: Eukaryota; Metazoa; Arthropoda; Insecta; Lepidoptera; Nymphalidae. The record is from RNAcentral.